Molecule: ribosomal RNA, 217 nt
Filed under: Clostridioides difficile
Lineage: Bacteria; Bacillati; Bacillota; Clostridia; Peptostreptococcales; Peptostreptococcaceae
Description: partial 23S ribosomal RNA
Rfam family: Bacterial large subunit ribosomal RNA
Source: RNAcentral
CAGUAUGGGAGUGAGAAUGUUGGCAUGAGUAGCGAGAUGUGGGUGAGAAUCCCACAGGCCGUAAACCCAAGGUUUCCAGGGGAAGGUUCGUCCGCCCUGGGUUAGUCGGGACCUAAGCUGAGGCCGACAGGCGUAGGUGAUGGACAACAGGUUGAUAUUCCUGUACUACCGAUAACCGUUUGAGAGAAGGGAUGACACAGUAGGAUAAGCUAAGCAC